CCUANGGGAGGCAGCAGUGGGGAAUUUUGGACAAUGGGGGAAACCCUGAUCCAGCCAUUCCGCGUGAGUGAAGAAGGCCUUCGGGUUGUAAAGCUCUUUCGGCAGGAACGAAACGGCGGAUACUAAUAUUAUCCGUUACUGACGGUACCUGAAGAAGAAGCACCGGCUAACUACGUGCCAGCAGCCGCGGUAAUACGUAGGGUGCGAGCGUUAAUCGGAAUUACUGGGCGUAAAGCGUGCGCAGGCGGUGAUCCAAGUCAGAUGUGAAAUCCCCGGGCUUAACCUGGGAACUGCAUUUGAAACUAGGUCGCUAGAGUAUGGCAGAGGGGGGUAGAAUUCCACGUGUAGCAGUGAAAUGCGUAGAGAUGUGGAGGAAUACCGAUGGCGAAGGCAGCCCCCUGGGUCAAUACUGACGCUCAUGCACGAAAGCGUGGGGAGCAAACAGGAUUAGAUACCCGUNUANUC
Molecule: ribosomal RNA, 465 nt
Filed under: uncultured bacterium
Lineage: Bacteria
Description: bacterial SSU rRNA
Rfam family: Bacterial small subunit ribosomal RNA
Source: RNAcentral